Molecule: ribosomal RNA, 573 nt
Filed under: uncultured fungus
Lineage: Eukaryota; Fungi
Description: eukaryotic LSU rRNA
Rfam family: 5.8S ribosomal RNA (bases 214-367)
Source: RNAcentral
UUUAGAGGAAGUAAAAGUCGUAACAAGGUCUCCGUUGGUGAACCAGCGGAGGGAUCAUUACGGAGUUAUCCAACUCCCAAACCCAUGUGAACAUAUCUCUUUGUUGCCUCGGCGCAAGCUACCCGGGACCUCGCGCCCCGGGCGGCCCGCCGGCGGACAAACCAAACUCUGUUAUCUUCGUUGAUUAUCUGAGUGUCUUAUUUAAUAAGUCAAAACUUUCAACAACGGAUCUCUUGGUUCUGGCAUCGAUGAAGAACGCAGCGAAAUGCGAUAAGUAAUGUGAAUUGCAGAAUUCAGUGAAUCAUCGAAUCUUUGAACGCACAUUGCGCCCCCUGGUAUUCCGGGGGGCAUGCCUGUUCGAGCGUCAUUUCACCACUCAAGCCUCGCUUGGUAUUGGGCGACGCGGUCCGCCGCGCGCCUCAAAUCGACCGGCUGGGUCUUUCGUCCCCUCAGCGUUGUGGAAACUAUUCGCUAAAGGGUGCCGCGGGAGGCCACGCCGUAAAACAACCCCAUUUUCUAAGGUUGACCUCGGAUCAGGUAGGGAUACCCGCUGAACUUAAGCAUAUCAAUAAG